AUUGAACGCUGGCGGCAUGCCUUACACAUGCAAGUCGAACGGCAGCACGGGAGCAAUCCUGGUGGCGAGUGGCGAACGGGUGAGUAAAGUAUCGGAACGUGCCCAGUCGUGGGGGAUAACGUAGCGAAAGUUACGCUAAUACCGCAUACGAUCUAUGGAUGAAAGCGGGGGAUCGCAAGACCUCGCGCGAUUGGAGCGGCCGAUAUCAGAUUAGGUAGUUGGUGGGGUAAAGGCUCACCAAGCCGACGAUCUGUAGCUGGUCUGAGAGGACGCCCGGCCACACUGGGCCUGAGACACGGCCCAGACUCCUACGGGAGGCAGCAGUGGGGAAUUUUGGACAAUGGGCGCAAGCCUGAUUCAGCCAUGCCGCGUGCAGGAUGAAGGCCUUCGGGUUGUAAACUGCUUUUGUACGGAACGAAAAGGUUUGACUUAAUACGUUGGACUCAUGACGGUACCGUAAGAAUAAGCACCGGCUAACUACGUGCCAGCAGCCGCCGUAA
Molecule: ribosomal RNA, 500 nt
Filed under: uncultured bacterium
Lineage: Bacteria
Description: partial 16S ribosomal RNA
Rfam family: Bacterial small subunit ribosomal RNA
Source: RNAcentral